CGCCAGACUCCUACGGGAGGCAGCAGUGAGGAAUAUUGGUCAAUGGCCGGGAGGCUGAACCAGCCAAGUCGCGUGAGGGAAGACGGCCCUACGGGUUGUAAACCUCUUUUGUCAGGGAGCAAGGUGCAGGUCGGGACCUGCUGUGAGAGUACCUGAAGAAAAAGCAUCGGCUAACUCCGUGCCAGCAGCCGCGGUAAUACGGAGGAUGCGAGCGUUAUCCGGAUUUAUUGGGUUUAAAGGGUGCGUAGGCGGACGCUUAAGUCAGCGGUAAAAUUGCGGGGCUCAACCUCGUCGAGCCGUUGAAACUGGGUGCCUUGAGUGGGCGAGAAGUACGCGGAAUGCGUGGUGUAGCGGUGAAAUGCAUAGAUAUCACGCAGAACUCCGAUUGCGAAGGCAGCGUACCGGCGCCCAACUGACGCUGAAGCACGAAGGCGUGGGUAUCGAACAGGAUUAGAUACCCCCGUAU
This 466-nucleotide ribosomal RNA is filed under the name uncultured bacterium. RNAcentral's name for it is "bacterial SSU rRNA". It matches the Rfam family "Bacterial small subunit ribosomal RNA", at positions 329 to 793 of the family's 1533-position model. The record is from RNAcentral.